AGCGAACGCUGGCGGCAGGCCUAACACAUGCAAGUCGAGCGGGCACACUGGUAGUGCUAGCUGCAGACGGGUGAGUAACGCGUGCGAACGUGGCCUUCGGCUGGGUCUAACUUAGGGAAGGUUGAAACAAUACCGGAUACGCGCUAGAGCAGCAAGGGUUCUCUGGCGAAGGACCGGCGCGCGUCUGACUAUCUAGGUGUUGAGGUUACGGCGCACCAAUGCGACGAUCAGCAGCUGGACUGUGAGGAUGGCCAGCCACACUGGGACUGGGGCACGGCCGGGACUACUACGGGAGGCGGCAGAGGGGAAUAUUGGACUACGGCGUCAACGCUGAACCAGCCCUGCCGCGUGAGUGAUGUCGGCCGUAGGGUUGUAAAGCUCUUUUCUCCGGGGCGAUAAUGACGGUACCGGAAGAAUAAGCCCCGGCUAACUUCGUG
This 437-nucleotide ribosomal RNA is filed under the name uncultured bacterium. Its description in RNAcentral is "partial 16S ribosomal RNA". It matches the Rfam family "Bacterial small subunit ribosomal RNA", at positions 28 to 507 of the family's 1533-position model. The record is from RNAcentral.